UGAGACCUCUUGAUGGCCGCGGCCGUGAUCUUCAUUGGGAUCGGCUGAGGAACUUCCGGGCUCCAUAGAGCACGAUGGCGGAUAACGUCCGCCCAGGGUGACCUGAGAGAUAGCGCAACAGAGAACAGACCGCCCGUCCUCGACGGGUAAGGGUGAAACGGCGGUGUAAGAGACCACCGGGCCUCUGGUAACAGUAGGUCGCAUGGCAAGCCUCAUCGGGAGCAAGGCCAAGCAGAUGGCGGUAAGGGCUGCUCGCCCGUGUCAUCGGGUAGGCUGCUAGAGCCUGGCGGUAACGUCAGGUCGAGAUGGAUGGCCAUCCGUGCCGUACGUUCGCGCACGGCACGACAGAACCCGGGGUAUAAGAGGUCUCAUUUU
RNAcentral lists this RNase P RNA (375 nucleotides) under Bifidobacterium longum. Its description in RNAcentral is "RNase P RNA component class A". It matches the Rfam family "Bacterial RNase P class A". From Rfam's summary of the family: Ribonuclease P (RNase P) is a ubiquitous endoribonuclease, found in archaea, bacteria and eukarya as well as chloroplasts and mitochondria. Its best characterised activity is the generation of mature 5'-ends of tRNAs by cleaving the 5'-leader elements of precursor-tRNAs. Lineage: Bacteria; Bacillati; Actinomycetota; Actinomycetes; Bifidobacteriales; Bifidobacteriaceae. The record is from RNAcentral.